This 484-nucleotide ribosomal RNA is filed under the name Gemella haemolysans. RNAcentral describes it as "bacterial SSU rRNA". It matches the Rfam family "Bacterial small subunit ribosomal RNA", at positions 28 to 492 of the family's 1533-position model. The record is from RNAcentral. Lineage: Bacteria; Bacillati; Bacillota; Bacilli; Caryophanales; Gemellaceae.
GACGAACGCUGGCGGCGUGCCUAAUACAUGCAAGUCGAGCGAAGUUUUUCUGGUGCUUGCACUAGAAAAACUUAGCGGCGAACGGGUGAGUAACACGUAAAGAACCUGCCUCAUAGACUGGGACAACUAUUGGAAACGAUAGCUAAUACCGGAUAACAGCAUUAACUGCAUGGUUGAUGUUUAAAAGUUGGUUAUGCUAACACUAUGAGAUGGCUUUGCGGUGCAUUAGCUAGUUGGUGGGGUAAAGGCCUACCAAGGCGACGAUGCAUAGCCGACCUGAGAGGGUGAUUGGCCACACUGGGACUGAGACACGGCCCAGACUCCUACGGGAGGCAGCAGUAGGGAAUCUUCCGCAAUGGGCGAAAGCCUGACGGAGCAACGCCGCGUGAGUGAAGAAGGAUUUCGGUUCGUAAAGCUCUGUUGUUAGGGAAGAAUGAUUGUGUAGUAACUAUACACAGUAGAGACGGUACCUAACCAGAAAGCC